This 401-nucleotide long non-coding RNA is filed under the name Brassica napus (rape). Its description in RNAcentral is "long non-coding RNA (BNAP_LNC016051)". Lineage: Eukaryota; Viridiplantae; Streptophyta; Magnoliopsida; Brassicales; Brassicaceae. The record is from RNAcentral.
CUCAACAACAAUUGAAACUACACUAAAAACUAAAAAGCGAAAUAGAAACACUAAGAGCCUAAAACUCCAGCUUCUCUCCAAAAACACAUAGAUUCACCAUAAACUUUCAACUCCACCAUCAUCUGUUACACGCUGUUCCUCGCACCUUCUUCUGCAAGCAAACCAUGUAACCAAGAAGGAUUACUUUGGGCCACAUAGGACUGAAGUCUCAUCUUCUUUGUCACGCUUCGAGCAAUCAAGAAAACACCUCAGUUAGCCUCUCUUGUCACCAUAUUCACCUUCCAAUCUGUAAGAUUACUCAGCACUUCAGUUUAUUCCAAACCAUACGCUCGAAAGGCUGGCCAGGCACGUGGUCUAUUAAUUGAUCCAACCAAUUCUGAAGCUUCUAACUCAAAAAUCAC